GCCGAGGUGGUGAAACUGGUAGACACGCUAGCUUGAGGGGUUAGUGGACGCUUUUGUCCGUGCAGGUUCAAGUCCUGUCCUCGGCACCA
RNAcentral lists this transfer RNA (89 nucleotides) under Actinomycetota bacterium. RNAcentral's name for it is "tRNA-Leu". It matches the Rfam family "tRNA". Rfam says of the family: Transfer RNA (tRNA) molecules are approximately 80 nucleotides in length. Their secondary structure includes four short double-helical elements and three loops (D, anti-codon, and T loops). Further hydrogen bonds mediate the characteristic L-shaped molecular structure. tRNAs have two regions of fundamental functional importance: the anti-codon, which is responsible for specific mRNA codon recognition, and the 3' end, to which the tRNAs corresponding amino acid is attached (by aminoacyl-tRNA synthetases). tRNAs cope with the degeneracy of the genetic code in two manners: having more than one tRNA (with a specific anti-codon) for a particular amino acid; and 'wobble' base-pairing, i.e. permitting non-standard base-pairing at the 3rd anti-codon position. The record is from RNAcentral. Lineage: Bacteria; Bacillati; Actinomycetota.